Molecule: long non-coding RNA, 1327 nt
Filed under: Mytilus galloprovincialis (Mediterranean mussel)
Lineage: Eukaryota; Metazoa; Mollusca; Bivalvia; Mytilida; Mytilidae
Source: RNAcentral
UUUGUGUAUAUGUCUUGUCCUUUUUUUGUCCUUAUUUUUUUUCCUUUAGGUUGUGCGGCCCAGGACUUGGCCAUACCAGGUAUAUAUGUUAUUGUUAAGGUCUUUUGUGUAUAUGUCUUGUCCUUUUUUUUUCCUUUAGGUUGUGCGGCCCAGGACUUGGCCAUACCAGGUAUAUAUGUUAUUGUUAAGGUCUUUGUGUAAGUCUCAUGUCCUUUUUUUGCCCCUAUUUUUUUCCUUUAGGUUGUGCAGCCCAGGACUUGGCCAUACCAGGUAUAUAUGUUAUUGUUAAGGUCUUUGUGCAUUUCUCAUGUCUUUUUGCCCCUAUUUUUUUUUCUCUUUAGGUUGUGCAGCCCAGGACUUGGCCAUACCAGGUAUAUAUGUUAUUGUUAAGUCUUUUGUGUAUAUGUCUUGUCCUUUUUUUUUCCUUUUUUUUUUAGGUUGUGCGGCCCAGGACUUGGCCAUACCAGGUAUAUAUGUUAUUGUUAAGGUCUUUGUGUAAGUCUCAUGUCCUUUUUUUGCCCCUAUUUUUUUCCUUUAGGUUGUGCAGCCCAGGACUUGGCCAUACCAGGUAUAUAUGUUAUUGUUAAGGUCUUUGUGCAUUUCUCAUGUCUUUUUGCCCCUAUUUUUUUUUCUCUUUAGGUUGUGCAGCCCAGGACUUGGCCAUACCAGGUAUAUAUAUGUUAUUGUUAAGGUCUUUUGUGUAUAUGUCUUUUUGUCCUUUUUUUUUCCUUUAGGAUGUACGGCCCAGGACUUCGCCAUACCAGGUAUAUAUGUUAUUGUUAAGGUCUUUCUGUAUGUCUCAUGUCCUUUUUUUGCCUCUAUUUUUUUCCCUUUAGGUUUUGCGGCCCAGGACUUGGCCAUACCAGGUAUAUAUGUUAAUGUUAAGGUCUUUGUGUAAGUUUCAUGUCCCUUUUUUUGCCCUUAUUUUUUUCCUUUAGGUUGUACAGCCCAGGACUUGGCCAUACCAGGUAUAUAUAUUAUUGUUAAGGUCUUUGUGUAUGUUUCAUGUCUUUUUUUUGCCCCUUUUUUUCCCCUUUAGGUUGUGUGGCCCAGGACUUGGCCAUACCAGGUAUAUAUGUUAUUGUUAAGGUCUUUGUGUAUAUGUCUUGUCCUUUUUUUGUCCUUUAUUUUUUCCUUUAGGUUGUGCGGCCCAGGACUUGGCCAUACCAGGUAUAUAUGUUAUUGUUAAGGUCUUUGUGUAUAUGUCUUGUCCUUUUUUUUCCUUUAGGUUGUUUGGCCCAGGACUUGGCCAUACCAGGUAUAUAUGUUAUUGUUAAGGUCUUUGUGUAUAUGUCUUGUCCUUUUUUUGUCCUUAUUUUUUUCCUUU